Nicotiana tabacum (common tobacco) is the source of this 900-nucleotide long non-coding RNA. RefSeq lists it as uncharacterized. The record is from RefSeq and is a predicted model, not a curated record. Lineage: Eukaryota; Viridiplantae; Streptophyta; Magnoliopsida; Solanales; Solanaceae.
AUAAGAGAGAGGCAUCUGAAAAAGGGCUAAAAAAAGCCACAGUACAAAAAUCAGCGUAGCCUUACAUCAGAGAACCCCACCCCCCACGUAUCAUCUUCUUGGAUUCACCCCGAAUGACCCCUGCUGCUUCACCAUUUUUAGCAGCUUGAGACCUCACCCCAACGACCUUUCUCUCUAAAACAAAGCCAGCAGCAACCGGCGUUCACCAGUUCCGCCAUGAACGACCAACCCCAAGAGAAAAGCUAGCCGCUCACACUUCAGCUUCCUCACUUGAGCUGUUGCUUCGCCUGAAUUGACCACCGGCGAGUGGCGACGCCACUAGCAACGGAUCUGGCCAGAAACCCCAAAACACAACCGCGAUUCAGUCACUCAUACAAAAACGAAAAAUAUUCUGGUUUUCUUCUUCCAUUUUUCGGACAUCCGUCUCAAAAUUCAGAGGUGCUGUCCUCUGAUUCUCGUUCCAGAAUGAAGGUCAUUUGAUGUCGUGUAUGGAUUCAACAUUUCUUGUACCGAUUCGAGGAUUCUGUCAAGGUCGUGUUCGAGAGUCCUGUCCGAGCUGAGUUCCGAUCGUGGUUGUGGUUUGUUUCCAUCCGUGUAAUUGCUGGAAUUUUUAUUAACUGAAGGCAAUUUGAGGCGUGGAUUUACUUAUCGGAGUUUGAGCAUGACAGAGUCCCAGGACAUCUAGUCAGGAUAGCUCAUUCAGGAGUGGAUUAAAAGAAGAUUUUUUUUUCUUUUUAUGUUUUGAGUCUGUUUUUUUAUUUUUUUUUUAUUUUAUGUCAUCUUUUACCUUUUAGUUUUGUAUAGUAAUGUCGAGUUUUAUUAUUAUUACUGUACUUUCUAUUUUGCAUUUGAAAGGGUGUGUAAUGAAUCAAAAAUCCAAAAAACAAAUUUUGCGUUUUA